This 330-nucleotide ribosomal RNA is filed under the name uncultured fungus. RNAcentral's name for it is "LSU rRNA". It matches the Rfam family "Eukaryotic large subunit ribosomal RNA", at positions 320 to 667 of the family's 3401-position model. The record is from RNAcentral. Lineage: Eukaryota; Fungi.
AUAUUGGCCAGAGACCGAUAGCGCACAAGUAGAGUGAUCGAAAGAUAAAAAGCACUUUGGAAAGAGAGUUAAACAGUACGUGAAAUUGUUGAAAGGGAAGCGCUUGCAAUCAGACUUGCACUUGGUGUUCAUCAGGGUCUCGUACCCUGUGUACUUCAUCAAGUUCAGGCCAGCAUCAGUUUGAGUGGUUAGAUAAAGGCUUAGAGAAUGUGGCCCUCUUCGGGGGGUGUUAUAGCUCUAGGUGCAAUGUAGCCUACUUGGACUGAGGACCGCGCUUCGGCUAGGAUGCUGGCGUAAUGGUUGUAAGCGACCCGUCUUGAAACACGGACC